GUGCUUGCUUCAGGGAGCACAUAUACUAAAAUUGGAAGAAUAGAAGAUUAGCAAGACCCCUAUACAAGGAUGAAACUCAAAUUUAUAAAAUAUUUUCUUUUUUA
Erinaceus europaeus (western European hedgehog) is the source of this 104-nucleotide small nuclear RNA. Lineage: Eukaryota; Metazoa; Chordata; Mammalia; Eulipotyphla; Erinaceidae. The record is from Ensembl.